Long non-coding RNA from Culex pipiens pallens (northern house mosquito), 587 nucleotides. RefSeq lists it as uncharacterized. The record is from RefSeq and is a predicted model, not a curated record. Lineage: Eukaryota; Metazoa; Arthropoda; Insecta; Diptera; Culicidae. The transcript is spliced from 3 exons.
UGCAGAACAAAAGCGACUUGUCAAAGUGUGCCACGACAAUUUCGACGCCGUGGAUCUGCGAAGAAAAACCCAAGCAGAUUCGUUCCGGGACCGGUGUUUGUUCCGUCGGUUCUCCCCACGGGAUCUACGUUGGAUUAUUAAUUCAAAUAUGAUUCUGCUUUUGCAGUCACGAAGGUUUUGCCGGAUUUCGGAAUCCCCGGCACAAUCGACGUCCGCCUUAAUGAAAUCCAAGCCCACAAUGGCCACAGUCAGCUGCUCAGCCAACGUCCGGGCACCAGUUCUGCGGACUUUUGACGGUUCUGAUGACAACAGUGGCUGAUCCGCUGUCCGGGGAAAUGGCCGUGGAACCGUCCUCCUUCACGAAAAAGCACAGUUCCUGACGAAUGCUUCUCAGCGGAUGGGUUGGCCGGUUGCCAGGUUGGCCGGAAAUGGCCAGUCGCUCCCGGAAGAUUCAACCUCAUGGCGGAUAUCGGAAAAGCACUAAUGGCUGGCAGAAAUUUUUGAAAAAAAUAGUGAAAAUAUUAGUGAAUUGCCUUUUUAUGUGUAAUUAUGGAAAAAAUAUGAAUAAAUGUGUGUUUUUGGUUGUU